AAGGGAAUGUUGGGAGUUUCAAUCUCAACACAUCUGGAUAGGAAGAAAUGAGAGACAGCUGAAGUUGACAACAUAUUGUACUUAAAAGGCUUAGUUAUUCUCCUAGUAAUUAGUUUCAUGUAUUUAGGGUAUUAACAUAAUUAAUGUACUCAAAUUUUCCAAGCACUUUAAUUAGAAAAUGAACAGGGAUAAAUUAGAAAAAAGUGUGUUAUACAAUUCCUGGGCACAUACGUAAGACAGUUUACAAUCUAAUCCCAAAAAGUAAAAACAUGCUUGAAUCCAUUUAAUUGCAGCCGGCUAAUCCCAUAGUCCAACACCCUUUAAGUGCAAAGGAUUACUGUAUUGGUUUUAAUACAGUAGAUGUAGUUUUGCACAUAUGUAAAUCCAUUUUCCAGUCAACAUCAGAAAAUACAGCUGAUUACAUGCUGUUUUCAUUAUUUAAAUGAAUGCCUUUAAUAUAAAUGAAUUCUCUCUCUGGAAAUGAAUAUGUGGCCAGUGUAUUACUGGAAUAUUUCAACUGAUACUAAUUUGCUUUUAAGAAUAUCUCUAGUUUUCAUACAUGUUGUGAAUGCUCAUUUAUGGGUUGUUUUUUGUAUCAUUUUAAUGUAAGCUUAUAGUUUCAUCUUCCCACUCCCUUUGGUUUUAUGUUAUAUAAGUUACUUUCU
This is a non-coding RNA of Pseudonaja textilis, 665 nucleotides long. Lineage: Eukaryota; Metazoa; Chordata; Lepidosauria; Squamata; Elapidae. The record is from RefSeq and is a predicted model, not a curated record.